Long non-coding RNA from Oncorhynchus keta (chum salmon), 273 nucleotides. RefSeq lists it as uncharacterized. The transcript has 3 exons. The record is from RefSeq and is a predicted model, not a curated record. Lineage: Eukaryota; Metazoa; Chordata; Actinopteri; Salmoniformes; Salmonidae.
AACCAACAGAGACAGGGGGAGACAGUGGGUGAGGUAACCAACAGAGACAGGGGGAGACAGUGGGUGAGGUAACCAACAGAGACAGGGGGAGACAGUGGGUGAGGUAACCAACAGAGACAGGGGGAGACAGUGGGUGAGGUAACCAACAGAGACAGGGGGAGACAGUGGGUGAGGUAACCAACAGAGACAGGGGGAGACAGUGGGUGAGGUAACCAACAGAGACAGGGGGAGACAGUGGGUGAGGUAACCAACAGAGACAGGGGGAGACAGUGG